This 2155-nucleotide long non-coding RNA is filed under the name Octopus sinensis (East Asian common octopus). Its description in RNAcentral is "uncharacterized LOC118764358". Lineage: Eukaryota; Metazoa; Mollusca; Cephalopoda; Octopoda; Octopodidae. The record is from RNAcentral.
AGUUGUCAUCAUAAAGUAUUGAUAUUGUUAAUUAUAUCUGAUCUACUUUUUUAAAUGACUUACCAUAUAUAACAGAAAACAAUAUAUCACGAAAAUAUCGAUUUUUUUUAUUCCGUCGAUUUAUUGUUUCACAUUCCCGUUGGUAGUUAUUAACAGUUUUUAUAAAUUAUACAAUAAAAUUAUACGUCGUUAUAAAAAAUGUAAUGCUUUGAUUUAUUUAGUUGUGUUCUGAAAUAUACACCCACGUCAUAAUUGCCAUUUUGUAUAUCAAGUUACAAAGAGAACUAAUUUUAAUAAUUAACUUUUGGAUGAUUGAAGAAAAUACAAUUUAUUAUUAUAAUCUUUGCACUGGCGGUAGAAAAUUAUCAGUUUUAAUUGCUGUCAUACCCGAUUAAUUAUACACACAUUUCUAGAUUACGCAGAACACUGGUUUCAAGUAAUUCUUUUUUCUUUAAGACGAAUGUACCAUAAAGACGUAGAAAAUAUUAAACCAGAAAGUAAGUUAAUAAAUAAGAAUUGGGUUAAAAGGAAAUAACAAGUAACUUCAAUUAAUAAUUUUAUUACAGAGGCACAAAGGAUUUAAAUUUAAUGGGAAGGUAAGGGUGAAUGACGUUUCGAAAAUGCCAAUUACCAUCAUCAAUAUGAAUAUAUAAAGUUCUGAUGACACAAUCACAUUUUUUAAUAUUACGCUAUAAUAAACGAAUUAUAUUGUACUAGUUCGACACCCGUGACUUUGCUGAUGGUAGAUAGUAAAAUUUUUAGUUAAAAUUUUGUUGUGUCUAGGCAAUAUUAACACACGCACUGGUUUAAUUCCACCACUCCCUUAUUAUUAAAUUGCUUAAAUAUCUAUCUAACUAGUCGAUUGUUUAAUUUUAGUUUAAAGUUUGUCCGUUUAAAAGAUACACACAUAAUAUAUGUGUGUGUGCAUAUAUAUAUAUAUAUAUAUACACACACACACACAUUACUAACUUCAAUAGACUUAAACGAAAUAGCAACACCAUGAAUCGAAACUGGGAUGGAAGCGAUUGUUUGUGAAGUAUAACUGCGUCACACUUGUAACCCAUGACCUUUAGAAAUGUAUUUCUAUAUGUCCUUAUAAGGAAAUAGCUGUUUGGCAUAGUGUGACUAUUUCUGUCAUGCGCAUUUUCCCCGACCGUACAUCACCCGUUUAAAUAUAAUCUUCCGCCAGUAAUAUUUUAUAUUUACAAAGUAUAUUGUUUAAUACUAAAAUUCAAGAAAUACUUAUAUUACAUUUAUAUUAUAUUUUGAAUUAUUUUAUACUAUACUAUAUAAUAGAAUCUGAAUAAAAUUGUUUUUUUAAAGGGAACUAUAUUAUGCGCAUGAUCUCAGCGAUCAGUCUCGUAUUAAUAUCAAAUUCUUAUUGUGACGCAUAGUUUGGAGAAAUCGCUCAUACUGAAUGGACGUUCGGGAAAUUUUAUCGUAAAUUUGGUUUGCUAUUUUCACUGUCUGUUUUUAUUUCUUAUCUAGCGGAUUAUGCUGAUGUAGUGUGUGCCAUCUUGAAAACGGAAGAAAUUUGAUUAUGCUCUCAACUGAAAUGCAAACUACUUGUGGGUUUCUUUCUUCUGGGUAAGCGAACUCAAGUAGUUGACCCUAUAAGUAACCACUUAAUAUUUAGUGUUGUUUACGUAUAAGAAUUAAAUAAAAUUUUGAAGUUUCUGCUCUUAAGUUCUUAAAAUAAAAAUAACUUUCUUGGUUCCUUGCUGUUAAAUUUUCUUUUCACAGUUCAACGCUGAAAUAGAAAUUCUUGCCAGUUUGCUGCUUUGGUUUUGCCAUCACGUAGGGAAUAAUAUAUACAUAUAAAGCAAAAAGGACGCUAAGGUUGGCUUUUCAUUGCCUCAUUAUUACAAUUAAAAAGAAUUUUGAGAUAACGUUAAAUAUAUAUUUGCAAUAAUUUAUUCACUUGUAAUAAAAAACCAAAAAAAAACAACCCCGCAUUACUUUUUAAUGCUUAGGAUUAGCAAAGUAGACCACCAAAAUGAUUAUUUGCCACACUUUUAUAACCUUUCUUUUCAGUUAAUCACUGGACUAAAUUCCUAAUUAUAUACAUCGUUUUGCCUGACCCAGAUUCCUGCAUACAGAUAUCUUACUGGAUUUAAAAGGUUGGCUUUUCAUUGCCUUUUCAGAAAUUGACAUU